AGUUGCCUUUCAGGUGUGGCAGGAAUCCGGAGCAUCCGGGGGAAACCAACUCGGUCACAGGGAGAACGUACAUACUCCACGCAGAGAGCACUGGAGAUCAGGACAAGCAUUUAAGAUGCUGCCUGACCCAUUGAGUUCCUCCAGCACCUUGCCCACUCUUGUGGGUCUGGAGUCAGAUAUAGACCAGACCAGUCAUGAAGGCUGUACCUACCUUCCCCCAAGGACAGCAGUGAACCAGGUAGCUACAUCUUCUCCCAGCUGUCCACAGAUCCAAAGUCUCUCCUCCCUGGAAACAUUCAAGUAAAUCUCCUCCACACCUUCCCCAAGGCCUUAAUAUCCUCCCUUACAACUGGUGCCCAGAACUAGACACGAAUUGAAGCCAGUGACUCAGAAAGAUUUAUUUAAACUGGAAGA
This is a long non-coding RNA of Pristis pectinata (smalltooth sawfish), 414 nucleotides long. RefSeq lists it as uncharacterized. The record is from RefSeq and is a predicted model, not a curated record. Lineage: Eukaryota; Metazoa; Chordata; Chondrichthyes; Rhinopristiformes; Pristidae. The transcript has 3 exons.